Long non-coding RNA from Cuculus canorus (common cuckoo), 1092 nucleotides. RefSeq lists it as uncharacterized. Lineage: Eukaryota; Metazoa; Chordata; Aves; Cuculiformes; Cuculidae. The transcript is spliced from 5 exons. The record is from RefSeq and is a predicted model, not a curated record.
UGUAGAUAUCCACAUUGUGGAGAUGAGGCUGAAAACGUGAUGAGAUGAAUUUCUCACUAAACCUCUAUUUCUAGCUUUCUUUUUAAUGGAGAUUGUACUCCACUUUUGAUUACAAUUUAAUACCCCUCAACAACAUGCUGCUACAAAAAGAAACAGACGGCUGGAUAUAGGCAAACAACCCAUAUCCAUCUAGCCAGUAUGGACAGUUGAGGCUACAUACUGCUCAGAUAAUCAAAUGGAAGCAUCCACAUUGUCUAAAAUAUUUUCUUAAACUUCUUUGCAUUAAGUAGAAUUCUACCAGCUGUAACAGCUUAGAUACAUAACGUAAGGGCUCAAGUUCAGUCAAAUACCCAAGUAACACUAAAUGGAGAUGGUUGCAAAGAGCCACAGCCACUCAGAAGACAAAAAGAGAAAAUCACAUAUAAAGUACAAUUCAAUGCUUAACUGGUCUUUGAACAUCUUCUUUAAUGACAUUAAGGAUACUUCAAAAUAAUCGGAUUCUUCAGUUACUGGAGUGAUGAGGGAAAGAGAAACUAAAGGAUAUAUACAGGGGUCUACACUGUCCUACAAGGAGCCCGAGAUGAAUGUCUUUCAGAUCCUAUCCAACCUUUCAACAGACACUAUGAGAGCCCUUCUAAGAAGGAUAUGGUUGUACACUGGCAAGAAAAAAAAAAAAAUCCAAAAUCACAAUUUUCUUGUUUGGUUGCAAGACUUAAGUUUUCUGAGAUUCAGAACUGCAUGUUUGUGAAGUCUGAACUUGAGCCUGAGCUUGUGGCCUUGUUCAGGCUACCGUGGAGAUGUAGAAGUAAAGAAACUAAUUUGCUGUCUCAGGGAGACCAAAACUAACAGCAACAUAUGGGCCAUGCUUCCAAAUUCCCUUUCCUUAUUUCCUCUGUUGGCAAAUGCUGCCUAUCUAAUACCUCUAUCUGUAAUUUUUAUAUUUCAUUACCCAAAGUGAAAUCACAGCUGGGACUCACAGAAAAAGAAUCAGAACAAGCCUGUCAAACGUGUGUUCUCUAUCCAGGCUAGAAGAAAGGAGUCACUGUGAUAGCUAAAGGCAGCAAAUAUCUGUAUACAGCACUGUUUUCAUCA